ACCAGCACGUGCGUGGGAUCUCCGAGGUGUAGGGUACUUUUAGUAGCAGAAUCUGACUGCAGAGAACAGGACAAUACCCAGUGGCUGGGGACAGAACUUUAUGUUAGCUAAAGUCUCAGGUGCUUCCAUUUUGUUUCAGAGACUUAGAGAGGAGUGGAAGAACCAGGGUAAGCGAAAAGAAGUCAGGAUGUGGAGGAAGCCGACUACGGCAAACUUACUGCAACCACAGAGGAGACCAGAGGACCGAAGACGAGCAGCCAGGUCAUCUGCUAGAAGACUCCACUCAAAAGUUUGAGAAAUGAAGACUUUUCUGUUAUUUGUGGUGUUAGGAACCCUUUCGCUAGUUUCCCACUGAUCAUAAACGCCCAUCUACUUUCGUGGCCCAAGGAAGAUAUCUGAGAAUGCCUUCUAGGAAGCAAAUAGGGAUUUGUCCAGCAUUUGGUGUUGACAGGUAUCUGUGCCACUAAUGUCAGCCUCCCACUGUGCACCCAGGCCCAUUUUUCUAGAUCUCUUUCUGUAGAUCUCCAGUGGUCUAUGAUAGCCAGACCUGGAUGCCUAGUUCUGCGAGGCAAGACCAGAAAACAGGCAGCCACCCUGAGCAAGCACUAGAUGGAGAAGCUGCUGGGUGCAGACCAGGAGAAAUGCAAGAUUGGACCAUUGACAGAACAUUGACUUCUUCCAAAGAGAAGAACUGGAGCCUAAGAUUUAACGUUGAACACCAGACAGUCCUACACCAGCAUAUGCACUGGAGGUAGAAUCGGCUGGAGAGGAGGAAACUCAAGGCUUGAUCACUGACUGGCCACUGACUGCUUCAAAACAGAGGAGUCCUGAGAUGGUGGGCACCUCAGCUCUCCAUCUCCUUCCCCUUUUUCUCCUGCUUCCAUCAGUUUCCUGUACUUUCCUUCUUCCCUUCUUUGGAUUUUUGUCUUUAGUCAUUUUUGGUGGUUUCUGAUGAAGGAACAGAGCUACUAGCUGUGGCACUCAGAUAAAACUAAAAUGGAGGCUAAGCUGUCAGUGAAUCACUUUUGCUCUCUCUGAAGGAAGGAGAAACAUUGUUGGACUCUGCUUUGGUUUGUGUGUGUGUUGUUGAUUUUUUUCAAAUAGGAAAGGCGGAGAAGAGCAAUGCAUGUUCUUUUCAGUGGGGCAACAGUGCCAUCAUGUGGAAAGUGUUUCCUUUAUCCUUGUGCAUGUAUGCAUUGCUUCCUCAAGACUAUUUCCAGCCAUAUUUGAAAGUGUGGGUCAAAACGAUUCUCAAGUGGCCUAGCCUUACCUCCUUCCGUUUUCUACUUUUUUCGUGUAGGCAGACUCGAGUCUUGGGUCCUUCAGAGACUUAAUAUAGACCUUAGUGUCCUAGUGCCCAGUUACUAGUACACAGCUGUCCUGAGAUCCAGGAACAGGACGUGGAGGGGCGGGGUUUACACUGCUCAGAUCGCAAAUUGAAUCUAUUAGCUUGUGUCCUAAGGCAGGAAGCUACCUCCUCUCUAGGUUCUGGUGAGAAAACUCUACAGUCCAUGUUUGUGUUGGUCCCUGAAGAGAAGUCAGGGAACCCGAGUAGAGUCAGCACCUCCAGCAUGGCAGUCGCCAUCUUCUGCCAUGGCUAAGAAUCAUGGGAAGGAAGCUUAGCUCAGUGGGGCUGUGAGUUGUGAAACUCCAUCCUGAUGAUGGCAGUAGAGCUCCAUAGAGGAGCUGAUGAGCAUUUGUCUCCCGCCCUUCCUGUCUGAAAAAACGCCCUCCAGAGACAAAAGGUCCAAAGAAGAUGGCUGUCUGGAAUUUGUCUAGUUCUAACAACUUGUGUCUUGUUUUCCUGGUUCAGUCAAAGUGAGACCUAAGUUUAGCAGAAUUAUUGUGUUAACUCCUGCGGUGCCAUGGGUACAGAUGUGAUCAUUGCUUACACAGCAUGACUUAGGCAUUUGAGUUGUUUUUUUCUUAGUGUGUUCUGUUUUGUUUUUUCUUAGACAGGGUUUCAUUGUAGCUUUUGGAGCCUGCGCUUAACUAGCUAUUGUAGACCAGGCUGGCCUCGAACUCACAGAGAUCUGCCUGCCUCUGCCUUAGGAGUGCUGAGAUUAAAGGCAUGCUUCACCAUCACCCAGAGGCAUUUGAGUUUUAUAUACUGCUACAAGUGACUGGGUGGAGUAACUAAUAGACACACAGUUCAUGCCACUGGUCCUUUCCCAAUGUAUAAUUUUGGAAGAAACAUCCAUGGCAGUAAAUCUUACCUAUGGGGAUGGAAAUGUAGAAAAAAGAGUCUUAAUAGUUAUUGAGAUCUAUUUAUUUUGCUGUAAUAGUUUUAUUAAUCAUUUUACUGAAUAAUUUUAAUGAAUGCGAUUCAGUUCAAUGUUUUUAAUGCGUUAAUAUUGGUUGUAAAAUAUCAAAUGUUUUCAGUGAUUUGGUGUUGCCUACGUACUUCAGAUCCCACAAUUUAUUAGAGAAAAAAGGAACUUUCUAAAUCCUGCCCCUAGUACCUUUACAAAAUCUGUGUGUUGCAUUCACAUGUUACGUGUGAAUCAACUUUAUAUACUUCUGUAACUCUAAAGUGAAGUAUUUUUAUAUAUUAUAUGACAUCUAAAUAAU
Long non-coding RNA from Microtus oregoni (creeping vole), 2571 nucleotides. RefSeq lists it as uncharacterized. The record is from RefSeq and is a predicted model, not a curated record. The transcript has 6 exons. NCBI's taxonomy places the organism in Eukaryota, Metazoa, Chordata, Mammalia, Rodentia, Cricetidae.